UAACAAUAUAAAAUCAUGUCCUGAUUACAUGUCAAUUACCACAUUCCAUACAAUGUGGAUGUGAUCCAACAUGUAUUCAAUGAUAGUAUGAAUUCCAACAGUUGAGAUUUAAAAAUCACAUACCACUUGCCAAUACUGUAAAUCAGUAAGUGUCGAAAUAAAUACCCA
Lutra lutra (Eurasian river otter) is the source of this 168-nucleotide long non-coding RNA. RefSeq lists it as uncharacterized. The transcript is spliced from 2 exons. The record is from RefSeq and is a predicted model, not a curated record. Lineage: Eukaryota; Metazoa; Chordata; Mammalia; Carnivora; Mustelidae.